GAGCAAGAUCUAUACUUUUGAACCAGUGGUUACUUUAUAUUAAAAUCUGAUAUAAUAUCCUUAGUCAUCUACUUUAGAUAUUAUCUCCCUCUCUGGGAAAUGAUAGCAUUAAAAUAUCUCUCUUCCUCUUGUAUUCCUUUCCUCGCGCUUAUCGCCCCGUGUGCUGGAGUUCUCUCUCCUUAGUGUCUGUCCUGUGUGGACUCGUGAGCUGAUCAUUCUGUUACUCCAUCUGUCAGCUGUUAAGUGGUGUCGACUCCCAGCUGCCAGAGAGGAGGCGGUCGGCAAAGGUGCUCCACUCUCCACCGAGGGGCUUCUUCACUCGUGUCGUUUCUAACUUCUCAAUGCACAGAACAUUCCCCUGUGGCUGCCACUUUUUCUUUCUUGCCUUCGUUUUAGUCUCCGUUUCACUCUUGAAUACAAUCAGCUCUCACCAUCGGUCCUUUUGCCAUCACUUCCCAGCUGUGUGUUGGCAAGUGCAUUUCGUUCAUUUAUGGAUGCUAAGAAAAGGGCUCCUGGGAACAACAAUCCCUAAAAAAAUAUGCCACUAGCCAGAUACACUGUGUCACUUUGCUAGGGACAAAAUGAAACGAUAAAGCGCAUUUUCCCUUUAAAUUUCAGCCUGUGACUAGGGGAGAAAAAUGCCUUCCAUCGUCUGAAGGCGUUACUGAUCUCUGAGAAGGUCUUCUGGAACAAGUGUUAGAGUGUUGCAUCACUUGGGAUUCUACUCUGACUAUCCUACAGACAAGCAACAAGACUGACACGAUACGCCACACGUGAAGGCACGAGACAAAAGCACUUGACAGCAGAAACCAUCACGUCCCCACACGGAGACUGCCCGGUGCCACGCCUGCUGCCCAGGCUCUGCUUCCGGGACCGCUGGGAGCUCCUGCCGACGGGGACGCCCGCACGGCACUUUCUGGGCCAUUGGCCGGUGGUCCACCACGCACAGCUGCAUCUCACCAGAUCUAAGAUGCCGGCUGUUGCAAGCUCUGUGGUCGCUAAGGAAAAACAAAAAGCACAAGCAAGCAUACUGACAAAGGCGUCCUGCCCACGCUGACACGACGUGUCCCGGCUGAGCUGACAGAGGUCUGGACGGAAGCCGUGCGUCUCACACCGGGUGAAGGAGGGCUCACUGGCUUUCAGCAGAUAAUCUCUGGGACUUUUGGACCCUAACCAGGCAGGGACCAGGCGAGGGAGACUGGGCACAGACAGGCAGGGAUGCCGCUGACUGCACAGCACAGACAAGGGCAUGGGUGUGGGGGCCUGCGUGCUUAAUGCUUCAUGAGCGCACAAAUAUGCUGACUAUGGACUGUACAAAGGACUCAGAGAAGUGCACGGGAAAAUGGAGAUACAGUGAGGUUGGGGGCAGACGUCUGGCACAGCGGUGAGGAUGCUGCUUAGACCCCUGCUUCCUAUACCGGAGCACCUGGGUUCAGAUCCGACUCCACUUCUGAUUCUAGAUUCCUGCUGAUGCACACCUGGGAUGUGGCAGGAGACGGCUCGGUGGCUGGGUUCCUGCCACUCAUGUGAGAGACCUAGGUUGAGUUCCCAGCUGCCUUUUUAACAAUAAACUUUAUAGGGGCCGGAGCUGUGGCACAGUGGGUUAACGCCCUGGCCUGAAGCGCUGGCAUCCCAUAUGGGCGCCGGUUCUAGUCCUGGCUGCUCUACUUCUGAUCCAGCUCUCUGCUAUG
This is a non-coding RNA of Oryctolagus cuniculus (rabbit), 1691 nucleotides long. The record is from RefSeq and is a predicted model, not a curated record. NCBI's taxonomy places the organism in Eukaryota, Metazoa, Chordata, Mammalia, Lagomorpha, Leporidae.